This 483-nucleotide ribosomal RNA is filed under the name uncultured bacterium. RNAcentral's name for it is "partial 16S ribosomal RNA". It matches the Rfam family "Bacterial small subunit ribosomal RNA", at positions 28 to 506 of the family's 1533-position model. The record is from RNAcentral.
AUUGAACGCUGGCGGCAUGCUUUACACAUGCAAGUCGAACGGCAGCGCGGGCUUCGGCCUGGCGGCGAGUGGCGAACGGGUGAGUAAUGCAUCGGAACGUGCCCAGUAGUGGGGGAUAGCCCGGCGAAAGCCGGAUUAAUACCGCAUACGACCUGAGGGUGAAAGCGGGGGACCGAAAGGCCUCGCGCUAUUGGAGCGGCCGAUGUCGGAUUAGCUAGUUGGUGGGGUAAAGGCUUACCAAGGCGACGAUCCGUAGCUGGUCUGAGAGGACGACCAGCCACACUGGACCUGGGACGCGGCCCAGACCCCUACGGGAGGCAGGGGGGGGGAAUUUUGGAAAAUGGGGGCAACCCUGUCCCAGCCAUGCCGCGGGCGGGAAGAAGGCCUUCGGGUUGUAAACCGUUUUUGUUGGGGAAGAAAUCCUCUGGGCAAAAACCCCGGGGGGAGAGCGGUACCGAAAGAAUAAGCCCCGGCUAACUACGG